RNAcentral lists this ribosomal RNA (657 nucleotides) under uncultured Lactobacillus sp. RNAcentral describes it as "bacterial SSU rRNA". It matches the Rfam family "Bacterial small subunit ribosomal RNA", at positions 844 to 1502 of the family's 1533-position model. Lineage: Bacteria; Bacillati; Bacillota; Bacilli; Lactobacillales; Lactobacillaceae. The record is from RNAcentral.
UGCUGCAGCUAACGCAUUAAGCAUUCCGCCUGGGGAGUACGGCCGCAAGGCUGAAACUCAAAGGAAUUGACGGGGGCCCGCACAAGCGGUGGAGCAUGUGGUUUAAUUCGAAGCUACGCGAAGAACCUUACCAGGUCUUGACAUACUAUGCAAAUCUAAGAGAUUAGACGCUCCCUUCGGGGACAUGGAUACAGGUGGUGCAUGGUUGUCGUCAGCUCGUGUCGUGAGAUGUUGGGUUAAGUCCCGCAACGAGCGCAACCCUUAUUAUCAGUUGCCAGCAUUAAGUUGGGCACUCUGGUGAGACUGCCGGUGACAAACCGGAGGAAGGUGGGGAUGACGUCAAAUCAUCAUGCCCCUUAUGACCUGGGCUACACACGUGCUACAAUGGAUGGUACAACGAGUUGCGAACUCGCGAGAGUAAGCUAAUCUCUUAAAGCCAUUCUCAGUUCGGAUUGUAGGCUGCAACUCGCCUACAUGAAGUCGGAAUCGCUAGUAAUCGCGGAUCAGCAUGCCGCGGUGAAUACGUUCCCGGGCCUUGUACACACCGCCCGUCACACCAUGAGAGUUUGUAACACCCAAAGUCGGUGGGGUAACCUUUAGGAACCAGCCGCCUAAGGUGGGACAGAUGAUUAGGGUGAAGUCGUAACAAGGUAACCA